UUNANNNNNNNNNAAGUCGAACGGUAACAGGAAGAAAGCUUGCUUUCUUUGCUGACGAGUGGCGGACGGGUGAGUAAUGCUUGGGAAUCUGGCUUAUGGAGGGGGAUAACUACUGGAAACGGUAGCUAAUACCGCGUAAUGUCUACGGACUAAAAGGGGCGAAAGCUCUUGCCAUAAGAUGAGCCCAAGUGGGAUUAGGUAGUUGGUGAGGUAACGGCUCACCAAGCCGUCGAUCUCUAGCUGGUCUGAGAGGAUGACCAGCCACACUGGAACUGAGACACGGUCCAGACUCCUACGGGAGGCAGCAGUGGGGAAUAUUGCACAAUGGGGGAAACCCUGAUGCAGCCAUGCCGCGUGAAUGAAGAAGGCCUUCGGGUUGUAAAGUUCUUUCGGUGAUGAGGAAGGUGUAAUGGUUAAUACCCAUUACAAUUGACGUUAGUCACAGAAGAAGCACCGGCUAACUCCGUGCCAGCAGCCGCGGUAAUACGGAGGGUGCAAGCGUUAAUCGGAAUAACUGGGCGUAAAGGGCACGCAGGCGGUUGUUUAAGUGAGGUGUGAAAGCCCCGGGCUCAACCUGGGAAUUGCAUUUCAGACUGGACAACUAGAGUACUUUAGGGAGGGGUAGAAUUCCACGUGUAGCGGUGAAAUGCGUAGAGA
This 657-nucleotide ribosomal RNA is filed under the name Muribacter muris. RNAcentral describes it as "bacterial SSU rRNA". It matches the Rfam family "Bacterial small subunit ribosomal RNA", at positions 48 to 696 of the family's 1533-position model. Lineage: Bacteria; Pseudomonadati; Pseudomonadota; Gammaproteobacteria; Pasteurellales; Pasteurellaceae. The record is from RNAcentral.